RNAcentral lists this ribosomal RNA (641 nucleotides) under Robbauera albescens. Its description in RNAcentral is "eukaryotic LSU rRNA". The stretch from base 174 to 327 matches the Rfam family "5.8S ribosomal RNA". The record is from RNAcentral. Lineage: Eukaryota; Fungi; Basidiomycota; Exobasidiomycetes; Robbauerales; Robbaueraceae.
UUGGUUGGUAUCCGGGGUAGCACUCUGUGGCCCCAACCUUCACUUUCCACACACACCUGUGCACCCGGUGGUGGGGGGUUCUUGUAAUAGAGCUCCCUCUGCUGCCUAUCUAUCACAUACCCUGAGUAUUAUGGAUGUCAGUGUAUACUUGCCUUUUUGGCAGAACUAAACACAACUUUCGACAACGGAUCUCUUGGUUCUCCCAUCGAUGAAGAACGCAGCGAAAUGCGAUAAGUAAUGUGAAUUGCAGAAUUCAGUGAAUCAUCGAAUCUUUGAACGCACCUUGCGCUCCUUGGUAUUCCGAGGAGCAUGCCUGUUUGAGUGUCAUGAAUCCCUCAAACCCCUCAGGUUUUGAAACAAAAGCCUGGGCUUGGGUUUGGAUGUGGGUGCCCUGCCAUCUUGUAUGGCUCACCCCAAAUGCAUUAGCUGGACCCUUCCUGUAACCGGUUCCACUCAGCGUGAUAAGUCAUUCGCUGAGGACAGCGAGGCAAGCCCACUUGUGGGUGCGCCCCUGCUGGCCGGACUCGGGUUGCUUGGUCUGCUUACAGCCCCGUCGCAUGACGGAAAACCAUAUUCAAUGCUCUGGCCUCAAAUCAGGUAGGAUUACCCGCUGAACUUAAGCAUAUCAAUAAGCGGAGGAA